GGGUCAGUAGGUUGGUCGUGCCACCGGUACGUACUUGUCUCACUGAUUCCUCCUUCCUGAAGAACCGUAAUGCCAUUAAUUUGGUGUUGCGGGGAAACAGGACUGUUACUUUUAAAAAAUUAGAGUGUUUAAAGCAAGCUAACGCUUGAAUACAUUAGCAUGGAAUAAUGAAAUAGGACGAUCGAUCCUAUUUUGUUGGUUUCUAGGAUUGACGUAAUUAUUAAUAGGUAUAGUUGGG
This 238-nucleotide ribosomal RNA is filed under the name Glomeromycotina sp. RNAcentral describes it as "partial small subunit ribosomal RNA". The stretch from base 40 to 238 matches the Rfam family "Eukaryotic small subunit ribosomal RNA", at positions 686 to 886 of the family's 1831-position model. The record is from RNAcentral. Lineage: Eukaryota; Fungi; Glomeromycota.